GGGUGCGUUUGGGAAGACUUUUGGGGAAAGUCUUUGGGAAAAUGCAAAGACCUUUGAGUUAAAUGUGUUUUUCAAAAUGCAAAUUGUGUUUGGUAAAUUGUAAUUUAAAAGCCCUUUGUGAAGUACCUUUGGCUAAAAUGGUGUUUGAGGGACAAAGGGCUUUUGUGAAAAAAAAAAUAUCAAAAGAAAAAUAAAAAGAAAAAACAAAAAAAUGAAAACCAGCGAGGGCAGGCGGCAUCCGGCGGCCGGCGGCGACCCUCGGCGACCUCCGG
This 272-nucleotide long non-coding RNA is filed under the name Eucalyptus grandis. RNAcentral describes it as "long non-coding RNA (EGRA_LNC002497)". The record is from RNAcentral. Lineage: Eukaryota; Viridiplantae; Streptophyta; Magnoliopsida; Myrtales; Myrtaceae.